Molecule: long non-coding RNA, 2634 nt
Filed under: Coturnix japonica (Japanese quail)
Lineage: Eukaryota; Metazoa; Chordata; Aves; Galliformes; Phasianidae
Description: lncRNA (ENSCJPG00005019470.1)
Source: RNAcentral
AUGAGAUCUUCUGCUCCUUCUUCCAUUACUGCUUACUAUUUGGAGGAUGUAAUUUGCCCAGACACUCAUCUUGAUGCUGUGUCAUUUUUCUCUUGGAUAGUGUCUGCACUACAAUAUGCAAGAGGGCCAGGAAGAGAGUUCACAAACUUUACCCUAUUAUGCAUCUGUUGGCUACACCUCGUUCUACAUGAAACAAGACAAAUCUUGCCAAAUUUCCAAGACAGAUCUGUUCUGCCAGAGACCGCUUCACUUAGGAUCAGAGCAAGGAACUGGUCAUUGAGAGUUAUUUACUUAGCAGCAUUAUUAUAACCAAGGGGAUCAAGAUUCACUCUGGAAAUAAUGAUGAAUAUAAAUUUAUCAUAACAGAAUGGUGAUGCAGAUUUUUUCUUGUAUCAACUACCACCCAAAAGAUAAACAUAAGUUAAUAUAUCUGACAACUCUCUUGCUUAAGACUCCUCUAGUUUAAGCCCUUUCACCACCAGUUGGGAUGAUUAUAUCCUUUUGAGGGGAGAGAGAGUCCAUGUACUUCGUCAGUGACUCAAUAGAAGCUAAAAGAAAAAUGGGAAGAAGUCAUUUUCCACAAAUCAGUGUUUUUUUGGCCCUGACCCACUUAACAGACAGCAGUUUCCCUUCUGCUUUGCCGGUAGUUCUCAAAGUGAAUAGAAGCAGGAAAGGCCUUGGGACUCUUAGAGGGAUCAUAGGAUUCAGUUCACCUGUGAAUUUGUCCUGUUAGAAACUUAAGCCAUUUGAACCUCACGUAGUCCAGUAGCCUGAGUGCCUGGUUAAUGGCAGCUACUGUGGCAAAUUUCUUUGCUUUCUCAAUUUUUUUAAAAUUUUUUUUUAUUUUUUAUUUUUUAUUUUUUUUAUUUGGGGGGGGGAAGAAGGGGAGGCUGGGUUUUAUGUUUUUCUCUUAAAUCUACGUAUCUUAAAUCUACGUAGUGUGUCUAACUCCUCGUGAAACCGCAAAUGAAAAUGCUGAAAUGGCUAACAUCUGGAUUAGUCUUCUGGGCAAAUACAUUGGCCAAGUUCUCAGUUCCCUGUUUCAGAGGAGAUUGGUGGAUAUAAGAUGCAUUUCUGUGUUUUUUCUUCUCUAAACUUUCAGCAGUUAUCAUGAUCAUUUGCAUAACAUUUAACCACUGUUUGCGUGGCUAUUGUGUCCCUGAGGGUUGCUUUGUGUAAACACAAUCUGUGUCACAGUCUUGGAAUGGAGAAGAGAAAAACAGCUUUUUCCUUUCAUGCAGAUAACCGUCUCCAUAGUAGCUCUGCAGCUGCCUGGAGUAUCUGUUGCGGUCAGCAGCAACUGGUACUACUAUUAGCUAAGGAGUAAAAUUGUAAAUCUAUAGGGAUGCGGUUAUAUGAGACUAACUGAGCCUGUGUAACAGCUUACAGCUGGUGAGAGGAACAGUCUUGUUUCCUCCUCAACAGCUUUUUAACAUGUUUCUUAUUCUCAUCUGCUCUCCUUUCUUCCUAUUGCACUCCCAGGUACUUCAGACUUUCGGGCUAUAUAUUUUCUAGUAAAUUAUAUUUGCCCAGACCAUAUUCUGGCCAAGACAUAACUCCCUUCCCAUUAGUCACUCCCUGGAACCUUCUGGCAUUUGGUGGCCACAUGCAAGCUGCCUGUGGGGAAUGGUUUGGUGAUUUUGCAGCUGCAUCUGGGAAUUGCUGGAGGACAAGUAGUUAACCUGGGCCAGAACCACGUCGGGGUCAUUAUAACAAUUUACUGUGGACAGUGUGAACAAUUCAGUUUCAGAACUUGUGAGUGUUUUCUUGGUACUAUUUAAUAUAAUUCCUGUAACACUGUGAGCUCACCGCUCUCAGUGAAGUAGUGGGAAACCGGCUCAGCCAAAGAGGAAGAAGAUGCAUUUUGACAGGCUAGAGAGUUACAUGAGCUCUUCAUGGAUCACAGAAAGGGUAAGGGCAAAAGUACAUAUCCAAGAACAGAGAGGGAGAGGUGGAAAAGAAAGCAAAGACUUGACUUUUUCCGGUAUUAGUUCUGGCUGCCUUAUUGAACAGUGCUCUCUUUAAUGGUAUAGUUAUGUGUAUAAAGGUACCUAGGGAUGGAUUCCUUGUCUUGCAGUGACGUUGACCAAAGAGAUCUGCAGCCCAGUGCGAACAUCUCACUGCCAUUUUUUCUGGAGAUCCGACCUGCCAACUACUUUUUGCAAGAAAUUCCUCCUUUCAGUCAAAAUAAGCCCAUUAAUGGCUGUAAACUAAUCUAGUGUGUUUUGCCUCAAAUGGAUGAGUGAGAGCUCACGCAAACACUUCAAAUGGCAGAUGGAAGAGGUGAUAGCAUUCGGUAAGAUGAGCAGAAUGAGAUGACCCUUCUUUAACCUUUUCAUGUGACAUUUCUGCAACUGAAAGAGAGUGGUGUGUACACAUCCUUCAGAAGAGUUUGUACUCUGCUCUUCAAUCUGAGUCAACAGUUAUGCAUUCAGCUGCAGCACCACUCCAUUAGCAUAGGCAGCUCCCUGCUCUGGGACACAGAUGUUCAGCUGGACUGAGGAACUGCUGAAAAACAAGCUUACAUUCCUGCAUAAAAACAGGUAUUUUUUCAGCAACUUCAGUUUUUCAAUCUAUGUCACCGUUUGAUCACAUAAGAAUAAAGGGCUUAAGUCAGAGCUUUUUGAAAGUACA